GGAAAUUCAGUUAAAUUCUUUUAUAGUGAAUGAUUUAUUCCAAAAUCCUUUAGGGGAACCUGUAAGACAUGAAGUACAAUUUACAAACUGACCCUCAAAAAUUAUCAUCAAAUAACAAUUGAAGUACAUGAAUAAACAAAGAUGAAAACAAGAGGAGAUUGACCCUCAGGCUACAAGAACAAUAAUAAUAAUCGAAAAAUAUGCAAAAAAAUCUAUUAGGAGUGCUGGGAAUUGAAAAUCUCUUGUCACUUAUUUCUUGUGAUUACU
Molecule: unclassified non-coding RNA, 267 nt
Filed under: Hevea brasiliensis (rubber tree)
Lineage: Eukaryota; Viridiplantae; Streptophyta; Magnoliopsida; Malpighiales; Euphorbiaceae
Source: RNAcentral